RNAcentral lists this long non-coding RNA (2273 nucleotides) under Triticum aestivum (bread wheat). RNAcentral's name for it is "long non-coding RNA (TAES_LNC012241)". Lineage: Eukaryota; Viridiplantae; Streptophyta; Magnoliopsida; Poales; Poaceae. The record is from RNAcentral.
AAGAGAAAAGGGAAGAAAACCAAACAUGAGAUUGAGAUUAAUACAUCUAGGAGGAGGUCGUAGACAUCACUGUGAUCAUUUUGCGGCCUGGGGAGCAAGGAUCCAUGGUUUUUAUAUGCCUUGUCCGGCUGUUGGAGUAGAUGACAUGGAAACAUCAUCUCUACCAUCUCGAUGGCUUAGACCCAGGGAGCCGGAUGUUCAUCUCGGCCCUCCCCACCUUCCAUCAGUGGAUUUUUAUAGUCAGGGUUAAAGACUGAGAGGCCCUAUGCAUGUUCAAAUAUGCGAGUAGCGUAUACAAUACAAAUCAAGAAAAAGAAAAGAGAAGACCAGAAACAUUACAAAAACACAAUUUUGACAAAUUAUCUCUAUUGUAAAAUUGAGGGAGUAACUCAUUAUCCGAGAGAACUGGCCAUUGACAAUUCACUUACAAUUAUCAAAGAGAACUGUAAAUUGCUAACUUAAUUACAUCAUUCUUCACAUAAGCUUCUCACCAAGGAAAUUUCUUGAGUGGAAGGUCACAUUUCAAGCCAUUGCACUUAUAAAACCCAACCUUGUUGUCAUUUAAAUUGCAAACUAAUCAUCAAUAAUGCACAAUAAUUUAUGACCCACAGAUGAUUUGGAGCCUAAGGAGGAGAAAAUAUCAAUGCAAAUAAAUACACAUGUAGUAAGAUGCAUUGCAAUAGUCGUAUUACUUGAAUUUGUAAGCUGACCAGCAAAAUCAGAUCAAUCAUGCAUAGUACACAAAAGAGACAAAGCUUUAACCAUAAUUGGUGCUUAACCUUCUCGCUCCUGCUAAUGAUUUUGGCCAUGAAGGCAUCAGAGUAAGGGGAGGAAGAACGGGAUGGCGCCUGCCGGAAGUUGCCGAUGGGUGUUGACGUCCUGACCAAGCCAUCUCCCUCCAUGAUAGGUGGCAAUCAGCGGAGAGGUGUAAGUAUGACGAGAUGUGAAAAUAAGCUGGAGGAAAUUAAUAUGGACCAGCAAACUGACAAAAGCAAAAUAUAACAUAAUUAUAUUGCAGAGUGUAGUAACAUUAUCAUAUUCCGGAUUAAACUAAUAGCACAACAAUUUACAGGGUUAGAAUGUAGUGCACAUAUAUAUCUUAGUGGCGCAAAAACUAUUUAGCCAACUUCACUAACAAGGUAGAAAUUGGCUUCAGUGUACUAACAUAGUUAUUUCGGAUAUAAGCAAUCAACCACGAAUUUAACAUCAUAGAUAUCUGACCAUUUUAAGUAACGAAAAAGAGCCCAAUAGGAAGAUAACACAACAUGGAGCUGCAUUGACCAGCCCCUUUUAAAGAAAGGCUUUAGGAUCAUAAGUUGUGUAGUUGAUCAACUUGGAAAUAUAAAAGCAUUUCCUUCAAAUCAAUACAACACCUCCGACAAAUGUGAUGUGAUAAGAAAGCAAUGAACAUAUACACUGCUCCACACUUAGUUUUGUAUGUAAAAAUAAAGCCAUGCCAGAUGGUUUUUUGGAUCACAGAAACCCAGCCUGAAUACAUCAAUCAAGUAUUAAAAUGCAUGAGAAAGUAGAUAAACUUACCCCAAAACUUGUUUCCCAAAGUACUUACAACACUCUGACCACAAUAUAAAGCCGGUGAUCUAUACUGAUCUGCAGGACUACAUCAUUGUAAUUUGUUCAAACCAGCACCUAAAUUCCACACACUGCCUCACUACAUGCAGGUGAAAAGGCAUAAACCAGAACGCGACUGAACAAGUGAUAACAAGAUUGGCAUACCUAGUUUGGAACUUGUAUGCAGAGCUUGGGAAACAAGAAAGUUGGAGGUAGUGUUAUUGUGGAAAUCCACAUAGACCUGAAAAGAAGUUAUCCAACCAAUUAGAUAAAAGACCUUGUUUUGAGUAUAUGUGCACUUAAACCUUUCAUUAACAAUUGUUUUGUUGUUGGUCUGCACCAUAUGAAUCCAAAGUAAGUUUUCCCUUUUACUUUUGUUUUUUCAUGCAAAUGUGUAACAGAGAGAGGGUCUGAAAAGAGAGAUAGUUCAGAGGAAAGAGAGAACACAAGGGAAGGGGAAAUUGAUGUGUGAGAGAAAUAAAUGACCAAUAGUUCUAUACAUCCAGCAAGAUAUAGAUGACAACAUUCUAUGAAAUGAAAUCACACGAUCCUAUAGAGCGCAAUCAAACCAUUCCUAACUCAGUUUAGUAUAAAAGUACUACACUACUAAAGGAGAGCUAGUUCUCACACAGGAACAAAAUAAGAUCAAUCAUGCAGGGUCCGACAUUCAUAUAGAUACAAAAAUAUGUAUACAACAUCACGAC